Long non-coding RNA from Magnolia sinica, 622 nucleotides. RefSeq lists it as uncharacterized. The transcript is spliced from 3 exons. NCBI's taxonomy places the organism in Eukaryota, Viridiplantae, Streptophyta, Magnoliopsida, Magnoliales, Magnoliaceae. The record is from RefSeq and is a predicted model, not a curated record.
UUAAUUAUAGUUUUUGUUACAGGUUGUGAAAUGUGAGUUGUCGGUUGUCCCUACAAGGGAAUUACCAUCUGAGGAAUGUCCAACCUAGCUCUCUAGUUCCCAAUCAGCUACAUUUUAAUCCUGCUACUGUGAAAAUGUUGAGCAACCUGAAGUAUGAAAGCAAUGCGCGGUUCGUGAGGUGGUCAACCAUGUGCAGUAAGCUUUCGGAUCAAAGCGAAGCUGAGAAUAGGGUGUUAGUUGAUGGAAAAUUGAUAACCAAUAGAGGCACACAUCCAUGGAGUUGUCGCUUGCGAUUGUUGGGAAGCUAUUUGGCUACGAAAAGGCAUUGGAUCUUGCUGUCAAUGAGAACUUUAAAUAGACAUAUAACUAUUAUGUAGGCAUUGUACUUUUGUCAAUGGAUUAAAAUGAAUGAUUGUAUUUGAUUGAAUGAAUGAAUGAUUAUAUUUGAUUGAAUGAAUAAAUGACUUAGCCAUGAAGUAUUUAUCUAUAUUAGCUUAUAUGAGUUGAUCUAUCAGGUCAUGUACUACAAUGGUAAGAGAUGCCAUUAUUAUAUUUUCUUUAAUUAUUUUUUAAAAAAAUAGGCAGUAGCUAUGGCUAUUAACCGUAGCCCUUUAUUUGGAAA